This 445-nucleotide ribosomal RNA is filed under the name uncultured bacterium. RNAcentral describes it as "partial 16S ribosomal RNA". It matches the Rfam family "Bacterial small subunit ribosomal RNA", at positions 330 to 792 of the family's 1533-position model. The record is from RNAcentral.
CCCAGACUCCUACGGGAGGCAGCAGUGGGGAAUAUUGCACAAUGGGGGAAACCCUGAUGCAGCAACGCCGCGUGAGUGAAGAAGUAUUUCGGUAUGUAAAGCUCUAUCAGCAGGGAAGAGAAUGACGGUACCUGACUAAGAAGCCCCGGCUAACUACGUGCCAGCAGCCGCGGUAAUACGUAGGGGGCAAGCGUUAUCCGGAUUUACUGGGUGUAAAGGGGGCGCAGACGGCAGCGCAAGCCAGGAGUGAAAGCCCGGGGCCCAACCCCGUGACUGCUCUUGGAACUGCGCGGCUGGAGUGCAGGAGGGGCAGGCGGAAUUCCUGGUGUAGCGGUGAAAUGCGUAGAUAUACGGAGGAACACCAGUGGCGAAGGCGGCCUGCUGGACAUUAACUGACGCUGAGGCGCGAAAGCGUGGGGAGCGAACAGGAUUAGAUACCCCAGUA